Molecule: ribosomal RNA, 541 nt
Filed under: uncultured bacterium
Lineage: Bacteria
Description: bacterial SSU rRNA
Rfam family: Bacterial small subunit ribosomal RNA
Source: RNAcentral
AUCUUGCUUUUGAUGGGCGUCAACCGGCGCACGGGUGAGUAACGCGUAUCCAACCUGCCCAUCACUUGGGGAUAACCUUGCGAAAGUAAGACUAAUACCCAAUGAUAUCUCUAGAAGACAUCUGAAAGAGAUUAAAGAUUUAUCGGUGAUGGAUGGGGAUGCGUCUGAUUAGCUUGUUGGCGGGGUAACGGCCCACCAAGGCGACUAUCAGUAGGGGUUCUGAGAGGAAGGUCCCCCACAUUGGAACUGAGACACGGUCCAAACUCCUACCGGAGGCAGCAGUGAGGAAUAUUGGUCAAUGGACCAGAGUCUGAACCAGCCAAGUAGCGUGCAGGAUGACGGCCCUAUGGGUUGUAAACUGCUUUUAUAAGGGAAUAAAGUGAGAGUCGUGACUCUUUUUGCAUGUACCUUAUGAAUAAGGACCGGCUAAUUCCGUGCCAGCAGCCGCGGUAAUACGGAAGGUCCGGGCGUUAUCCGGAUUUAUUGGGUUUAAAGGGAGCGUAGGCCGGACAUUAAGCGUGUUGUGAAAUGUAUACGCUCA